GCCGGGCGCGGUGGCGGGUGCCUGUAGUCCCAGCUACACGGGAGGCUGAGGCAGGAGAAUGGCGUGAACCCGGGAGGCGGAGCUUGCAGUGAUCCGAGAUCGUGCCANNNNNNNNNNUAGAUGGAGUCUUGUUCUGUUGCCCAGGCUGGAGUGCAGUGGUGCGAUCUUGGCUCACUGCAAGCUCCACCUCCUGGGUUCACGCCAUUCUCCUGCCUCAG
RNAcentral lists this signal recognition particle RNA (218 nucleotides) under Chlorocebus sabaeus (green monkey). Its description in RNAcentral is "Metazoan signal recognition particle RNA". It matches the Rfam family "Metazoan signal recognition particle RNA". From Rfam's summary of the family: The signal recognition particle (SRP) is a universally conserved ribonucleoprotein. It is involved in the co-translational targeting of proteins to membranes. Lineage: Eukaryota; Metazoa; Chordata; Mammalia; Primates; Cercopithecidae. The record is from Rfam by way of RNAcentral.